RNAcentral lists this long non-coding RNA (225 nucleotides) under Populus trichocarpa (black cottonwood). RNAcentral describes it as "long non-coding RNA (PTRI_LNC002827)". Lineage: Eukaryota; Viridiplantae; Streptophyta; Magnoliopsida; Malpighiales; Salicaceae. The record is from RNAcentral.
AGGCAGGCACCGGCAAUGGCAACCUUUAGCUUGCUUCCCACACCCACCAUCCAAAAGCACCACCACAACCUCACCCCAUCCAACAUCUCAUUCCAAGGCCUUAGACCCCUCACCAAGGCCAAAACCGCCUCCCUCUCCAAGAUCACCCUCACUGCACCAAAAAGGAGCUUAGCUGUGAAAGCAGAGCUUAACCCAUCAUUGGUCAUAAGCUUGAGCACAGGGGUA